Molecule: ribosomal RNA, 448 nt
Filed under: uncultured bacterium
Lineage: Bacteria
Description: partial 16S ribosomal RNA
Rfam family: Bacterial small subunit ribosomal RNA
Source: RNAcentral
AACGAACGCUGGCGGCAUGCCUACACAUGCAAGUCGAACGAAGCCUUCGGGCUUAGUGGCGCACGGGUGCGUAACGCGUGGGAAUCUGCCCUUUGGUUCGGAAUAACAGUGGGAAACGACUGCUAAUACCGGAUGAUGACGAAAGUCCAAAGAUUUAUCGCCAGAGGAUGAGCCCGCGUGGGAUUAGCUAGUUGGUGUGGUAAAGGCGCACCAAGGCGACGAUCCUUAGCUGGUCAGAGAGGAUGAGCAGCCACAGUGGGACUGAGACACGGCCCAGCCGGCGAGGGGAGGCAGCAGUGGGGACUAUUGGACAGUGGGCGAAAGCCUGAGCCAGCGAUGCCGCGUGAGUGAUGAAGGCCCUAGGGUUGUAAAGCUCAUUUACCCGGGAUGAUAAUGACAGUACCGGGAGAAUAAGCCCCGGCUAACUCCGUGCCAGCGGCCGCAGUAA